CCAAUAGCGUAUAUUAAAGUUGUUGCAGUUAAAAAGCUCGUAGUUGAACCUUAGGCCCGUGCGGGUGGUCCGUCCUCUGGGCGAGCACUGCCUCGUCGCGGGUCUCACCUUCUGGCGAGCGUGGAUGCCAUUCACUUGGUGUCUGCGGGAACCAGGACCUUUACCUUGAAAAAAUUAGAGUGCUCAAAGCGGGCUCGUACGCUUGAAUACAUUAGCAUGGAAUAAUGAAAUAGGGCGACGGUUCUAUUUUGUUGGUUUCCGGGACAGUCGUAAUGAUUAAUAGGGGUAGUUGGGGGGAUUCGUAUUUAAUUGUCAGGGGGGAAAUUCUUGGAUUUAUUGAAGACGGACUACUGCGAAAGCAUUUGCCCAGGAUGUUUUCAUUAAUCAAGAACGAAAGUUGGGGGAUCGAAGACGAUCAGAUACCGUCGUAGUCUCAACCAUAAACUAUGCCGACUGGGAAUCGGGCGAUGUUAUUUUUCGUGACUCGCUCGGCGCCCCGAG
Molecule: ribosomal RNA, 501 nt
Filed under: uncultured Glomeromycotina
Lineage: Eukaryota; Fungi; Glomeromycota
Description: partial small subunit ribosomal RNA
Rfam family: Eukaryotic small subunit ribosomal RNA
Source: RNAcentral